GUUUCAACAAAAAUAAGAUGAAAGUGAAAAGAGUUCCUAGUUUCAAUGCUCCUAGAACCACUCCCUUCCCCCACCUUCCCAGGCAGCUUUGGGACCAACAGAUACAAAUGAUGCUGAUCCAAGCCCUUAGCUCACUCACGCUCUAUAGGGAAGAUGCAGAUGUGUUCAGGUAAACAGGGACAUCAGCCAAAAGACCACGUCGUUACUGUUUUAUGGUGUGAAGAGCAGGCAGUGUAGAAUGGCCUCUGUUUCAGAAUGGUGAAGCAAGAAGAAACCCAGCUUGGGGUCUGUGCAGUAAUUCUGCCACUCACAAUUUUUUUUUUUUGUCUUUUUUUUUAUAGGGCCGCACCCAUGGCAUAUGGAGGUUCCCAGGCUAGGGGUCUAAUCAGAGCUGUAGCCGGUGGCUACAGCUCCGAUUGGACCCGUAGCCUGGGAAACUCCAUGUGCCGAGGGAGUAGCCCAAGAAAUGGCAAAAAAGACCAAAAAAAAAAAAGUCAGAAACUUGAGAGUGGGCCCUCCUGUAUGUUUCAUUCAGGCUAUAGGCAACAUUUUUUUUUUUACGACUUUUACAAAAGGUGCAGAGCCAGCACCAUGAAGCACAGGCCACAGAGCACAAGGGUUAGAGCUAAAGGCAUGGAUCCAAUAUGGAACCAGGUUUGCGCUUCUCUGUUUCAGGAGGUCAAAAUGCAUAAGAAAAAGAAAAGGCUCGCUUUGGCAGAAAAUUUCAGAAAACUGCUUCUAAGCUUGAGGAAAUAACAAAGGAGCUUUUGAUCAAAAUGACAGAAUGGAAAGGACUGGAGAGACCCAGGACUUAUAGGGUAUGCAGUCGCUGGAAGACUCCUCAUUGCCUCCCUUUGGGGAGAGGCUGAGUGCAUGUUACAAAGCUGUGAACACUAUUUGAAAUCGAUAAAUGGGCAAGAGCACAGGCACACAGCACCACCAGAGGAGUGUGAGCAUGACCAACUGCUUGUGUGUGUCCCUCUCUGCUGAGAGAAUCCCUGCUGGUUCAGGUGCCCACCCUCCUCCACACAACUAUACAUUCCGAACAAACUGAACCCAUCUCUGGGCUCUGUAUACCUACCGGUCCAAGGUCAUCAGGGAAUAGGAUUGCCCUGGGGGCAAUAAAGAAGUGUCCAUGCAGCCUUGCUUGCCACAGGCAGCCAUCUUGUGACUAUGAGGAAAACAAGCUUGUAGAUGAGGCCAGUAGACAGCAGGAGACAGGCAGAAAGACCCUGGGAUCGUGAUGACACCAUUGAGCCCAUCCUGUCUCUGAACUUUCUGUUGUUUAGGUGUUCGUGCCAGUUGAAGUCAUGGUUUCUUAGCUCAAAUACUGUGGGGACUUUUUGCUUUUUUUUUUUUUCUUUUCUAUAUGCUUUUAUGUUGCUUGCAUUACUUUUACAUCUAGUGGUCUUUCUGUUUGUAAUUAGGGGGAAAAAAGCUGUUUAUAUUUUAACUUUUCUAUUUCUUUCUUUUUUUCUUUUUUUUUUUUUUUUGCUUUUUAGGGCCACAUCCCUGGCAUAGGGAGGUUCCCAGGCUAGGGGUUGAACGGGAGACUAGAGUUACGGCUACCAGCCUACGCCACAGCCACAGCAACACAGGAUCUGGGACAGAAGAUCUAAAUAGACAUUUGUCCAAAGAAGACAUACACAUGGUCAAAGGCACACGAAAAGAUGCUCCACAUCACUGAUUAUUAGAAAAACACAAAUUAAAACUACAGUAAGAUAUCACCUGGUCAGAAUGGCCAUCAUCAAAAAGUCUGCAAAUAAUAAAUGCUGGAGAGGGUGCAGAGAAAAGGGAACCCUCCUGCACUACUGGUGGGAAUGUAAACUUCAAACUAUGUAGAAAGCAAUGAAAAAGAGCCUAUCAAAACCUAUGGGAUGCAAUAAAACUUGUUCUUAAAAGGCAUCUUUAUUAAAGAAUAAAGAUUAGGAAAAUAAGAACUUUUUAUUUAUUUAUUAUUUAUUUAUUUUUUGUCUUUUGAGGGCCGCACCAUCGGCAUAUGGAGGUUCCCAGGCUAGGGAUCUAAUCAGAGCUGUAGCUGCCGGCCUGCGCCAGAGCCACAGCAACUUGGGAUCCGAGCCGCCUCUGUGACCUACACCACAGCUAAUGGCAACACCGAUCCUUAACCCACUGAGAGAGCCCAGGGAUCAAACCCGAAACCUCAUGGUUCCUAGUCGGAUUCGUUAACCACUGAGCCACCAUGGGAACUCUGAUUUAUUUUUUUUUUUUUUGCCAUACCCACGGCAUGUGGAAGUUUCCAAGCCAUGAACAAAACCCGUGCCAUAGUAGUGACCCAAGCUGCUGCAGUGACAACACCAGAUCCUUGAUCCUCUGUGCCACAAGAGAACUCCAAGAAGAUAACUUAAUAGUCAUCUUAAGAAACUAACAAAAUAAACCAAAAUAAAAGUAAGAAGGAGAAAGAGGUAAGAAAUAAAGCAAUUCCUCAAAUAAAAUAGAUACAUUACUUAAGGAAAAGACAGAUGACAAAAAUGUACACCUUCAGAAAGGGAGAGAAAAAAAAAAGAGAGAGGAACAUAAACACAGAUAAUGAAGAGCUUAAAAGAAUACUGAAUAUUGUAUGCAACUAACUUAACAAAUGAGUUAGGAUUUUUUCCUGGUUACACUAAGACUGUCCUAAGAAAAUAGAAAACUUGAAGGGUUGAAAUGGUAAAGAAAGGAGCAGGAUGAGACUGACUCAGAGGAAAUGUAACCUUUACAGAACAGACAAUCCAACAGUAUUUAAGCAAGCAAAGACAAUUUCAAAAGAUGGAAAGCCCCUUCAUUUAAUAAACCAGUAUAACUCUAAUACCAAAUUCUGAUUUUAAAAAAUAUAAAAAAGGAGUGACCAUCUUAUGUAUAAAAAUAGACAUAAAAAUUCUAUUAAAUAGUCAACAGAAUCCAGAAAUAUGUCAGACAAGAUGAGUGAAGACUUACCUAGGAAGGCAAGGACAUUUCAGUAUAAAAAGGUCUAUCAGCCAUUUGUCAAGAUAUGCUGAAAAGGCUUAUAAAAAAAAUCACAACCUUUCCUAAGAAAGCCUCUAAGUAAAAUGGAAAAAAGAAAUAAUUUAUAUAUGAUGAAGACCAUUGAUUAUUAUUCUAAAUAAAGAAAUGCAGAGUUCCCCGGUGGGUGAGCGUGCUGAGAAGUGGAUGGUGGCCUUCUGUCCCGGGGGCCAGCAGGCCCUCUGGCCUCGGGCCGGCGAGUGAACCGGGGACCCCGGGACAGGCCUGGGCUGUGUCCUGCAGAGCCCUGGCUGCCCACUGGGCGGGCCCAGGCCUUGGAGUAGCAGCGAACCUCUCUCCCACCCCCACCUUCCGGAUCAAAGGGCGGCAGACCCCGCGAGCCGGGACCCUGCCUACCGUCGGGUCUCGUGGCCCAACGCAGCUGGGCUUAGGCGAAGCCCCGGUCAAGCCGUCCAGACGCGGCGUCUUUGGGCAUCUGGCCGGGCAGGGCGAGAAGAAUGGCAGCCACUGGAAUGCGCAGAGAGCUGUUAGUUUCAAUGGCCCGAGAAGGCUGGUCUGUGAGGACGCCAGCUUGGCCACCCUUGGGCCCUGGAGCUGCGCGGAUCCGGACCUAGGGUGACGGCUCUGUCCCAGGUGGACGAGAUCUCACCCCGUCCGGACAACGAUGGACAGAGAGGCCUUAAGGGGCCCGUAAGGCGAGCGGAACCCCCAUCAGCAACGGGGGGAACACUGGCGGGCCGUCGGGCGGUUGGCUGUUGUUCUAUCAAGACCUCGAAGCUAGAACUGGGAGCAUAACGCAGCACAUGUGGCCAACAGCAAGUGCCCACCACCCUUUGGGAAGAUUUACUGUCUGUUUAUAGAAGGCCUGUGUGUGUAAUAUGAGAAAGUUGCUCUCAGCUUUCCCCCCAACCUUUCAAAAGGAAACUUUUCACUACAUCUAGGCCUUCUAGAUAUAAAGAGGUUGCAGAUGUAUGAUAGAGUUAGAAAAUCACAUCUUGUUAAUGCCCUUUUUUUUUUUUUUUUAAAUCAUAGAAAAGGAAUGUCUCCUGGAAAUGACUUUUUGAGAUGAAAUUGUUUGACCACCUCUGGAAGCAGUAUCAGGAGCAACAGAAAUCCACAUUUGUUCAGUGGGUUAGAGGACAUGGAGUGGAAGACUUUGAGGAGGAGAUUCUGUGCUAGACUGGUCUUGCUUAGAAGACAUUUCCAGAUUAGAUCCAUUGUUUUGUAUGUGCAUUUUAUUUCUCACUGCUGUAUAUAUAGUUGACAAUAAGUACUUUUUAGAAAUAUCUAGGCUUUGUACAGAGUUCGCGUCGUGGCUCAGUGGUUAACGAAUAUGAUUAGAAACCCUGAGUUUGCGGGUUCGAUCCCUGGCCUUGCUCAGUGGGUUACAGAUCCAGCGUUGCCGUGAGCUGUGGUGUAGAUUGAAGACGCGGCUCGGAUCCCACGUUGCUGUGACUCUAGUGUGGGUUGGCGGCUAUAGCUCCGAUUCGACCCCUAGCCUGGGAACCUCCAUAUGCUUCCGGGGGAUCAGCCCUAGAAAAGGCAAAAAG
Molecule: long non-coding RNA, 4511 nt
Filed under: Sus scrofa (pig)
Lineage: Eukaryota; Metazoa; Chordata; Mammalia; Artiodactyla; Suidae
Description: lncRNA (ENSSSCG00015074147.1)
Source: RNAcentral